AUACAUCUAUAAUGUAAUUAUGGAGAUACUCAUCCUUCUGGCUAAGUGACAGAGACCAUACUUGGCUGAUAGUUUUUAGAGCACUAAGAUAUGAUAUAAUGCACCGAACACUAAAGUGAUCUUGAGUAAAAUAUAAUAUUUCUUGAAAGAAUUAGAAAACAUGGUAGGAUGUUUUAGGAUCAUCAUGAAGAUGAUGGAUGAUUGGAUUUAUGUUAAGUUUUGCUGUAAGUAAGUUGAAAGUAAAAUAAAAAUGUCCUUCUAUAGAGCAAUGAAGAUCAAUAAUUUGGAAGGUUCAUUUGUUUAACAAAGCUUAUUGAAUGCCAGGCACAGUGCUCAGUGCUAUGAUUAACAGAUAAAUAAAUGUUUUGGGGUUUGAUCUUUGCAGAUAAACUUUGGCAUACUUUGCAAACUCUCUUAAUAUUUUCUAGUUGUUUAGAUCAGUGAAAGAAAUGCAUUAUAGUUGUAGAUUUUAUACUAAUACUGGCUGCUCCUUUGUCUUUCCCUGUGGAUAAUUAAGGAAUGAAAUAGAAUGUCAAUGAAUAUGCUUGCUCCAGAGUGUCAUGACUAAUUUUAUCCCAAAUGCUGUGACCCACAAGUCAAAGGAAUUUUAAGAGUGGGGUAAAACUUUAGACAAAGCCAGAGAGUAAUUAAUGUCAUAGUAUGUGUCAUACCAUACCUGAUGAGGGUAUUAAAGUGCUUCAGUUAAGUCAACGUUUUGACUAAUAUUCACACUUUUCCUGCUGGCUCUAUAGCCUGAACUAACGAUGUAGACCAUUUGUCAUUGUCAAUGCCUAAAGCUGCAUCGGAAAAUGUCCAUAGCAACAGCAACAAUUCCCUGAAUAAAAUGCUAUGCUUUCCAGCAAUAAUUCCAAUGUCUUUACAUUCUCAGUUCCUCAUAUCUCACCCCCUUCUCUCUGAAUACUUUUUAGAGUCCUUCAGCUGCAGAGAGCAUAUGUGGUGCAUACCAUGUUUAGGGGAGGGUUUAAAUAUUACUAGGACUUACAAAGAUUUUUUUUUUAUUUUGCUGUAAAAUGUGUGAGGCUAGAAAGAAUGAUGGAGAGCUCUGGGGCAUUUAGUGCUACUCAAAAUGAUUACCCAGGCAUACAGGCACUCAGACAUUGUUGAAUGAAUGUCCAAGGAGCUACACACACCAUAAUAAUCAAGUAGAAAUGGGAGAAGACCUGGGGUUUUUCAACUACAAGGAAGGAAGCUGUGCAAUGUGCAAUAACCUAGCACCAGGUAAAGUGCAAAAGUUUUGUGUCAAGUGCAAUAGGGUGGAAAGGCUUAGGUUUGAAAUACUGUCCUGCUAUGUACUGUGUGAUCUCGCAAAAGUUAUUUAACUUUCCGUUCUUCGAUGAUUCCUCUUUAACUUAGGGAUAAUGGUACUGACACUGUAGGGCUCUGUGACUAUUGGAGCUGGGCUUACAUAGGGAUUGGAUCAAUGGUGGCUACCAUUAUUUCCAUGCUUUCCACAAAUGAUGCAAUCCUUAAGACUAAGGGUCCUGCAUUACUAAUCUUUGUAGACGAUAGCAUACUAGUUCAAUGCUUGACACACAAUAGGAAUUCAAUAUAUGUUAGUUGAAUUAAAAAGCAAUAUACAUGAUUUACUUUGGGCAUCAAAGAAGCUUUUUGUAUUGGAUGGGUUUUGCUCAUUUCUGGACUGAAUUAUCAUGGUGGAGAGUAGAAUAUUCUUUCUAAGCUUUCAAAAGUAUGAGAUUCUAGUGUGUCUAGAUGUCUAGUGUGUCUAGAUAGAAACUAUCUUAGUUUUCCCUCUUCACCACAUAAGGCUGCAUAUCUAUCUUAAGAUCUGUGUGAUGGAGGCUUGGAGCCAUUUGGUCGUGUCUGCAGGAAUAGAAUGUAAAAAAACAGAGCUCAUGUGCUACCUAGGUUUGCCAUUUGAGGCACCUUUGAUGUCACCAAACUAUUUUGCUGUUUCUUUUUUUAAAGAAAAAAAAAAUGGCAAGAGUGAUUGCUUACCUGAGAAGUCGAAUGAAAAAUUCCCAGGUAUCUAAUAUUCGUGAUGUCUUUGUAUGAAUGUAUUUUGGGUCAAAACCCCUCAAGUCUUCAAACCUGUGAGAGGGAGUGCUGUUACAGGGACCCCUUUUCUUUUGCAAGGAAAUUAGGACCAAACAUGAAUCCGUGCACUCUGUAUGUGGGCACGUUUUGAAUGUGGCUCUUUUAUUCCUAUAAAUAAAUAGAUUGUAGGGGAUAGAGAGAUUUGAACUCCUCUGCUUUUACCAGGCUAAAACUAUUAUUUCAAGUUUUCAGGGGACUGAUGCUAGUUCUUGGGGCUAACAUCCCAAGAUGUCUUUAAUUAUAUGGCUAUAGGGUUAAUAAUUAGCCCAAUGAAAAUGUGCUUAAUGGGCUUUUUCUCAUGCGUUUUUAAUAAAAAUUCCCAAAGUUCUGGCUCCUACCGCCCCAAACCAAAGUUCUGGCUCUGCGUCUUACCUUUCUUUCUUCCAGCCAGCUGGGCUCUGACUGUUUGUUUUCUGGUUCUGUUUGUUUGCAAGCUCUUGAAGAAAAUUUUUUUGUUUACCUCUUUGAUUGCUCUGAAUAAGAUAAAAUGGAUUCUGUUGAAUGCCAACACUGUGCGACUCAAUGGAUAAUUGAAUAUUAUGGGAAAAGCCCAGUUCCAAAAAGAUGAUGAUAUUCUUCAGUGAUAUAUUACAGAAGAAAUAUUGCAAUCUUCAUUCAUUGCAAGAAAACUGAGGCAAAGACAAGUGAAGUAACCUGCUGGAAACCCAGAGCAUGUAAGUCAUGGAUCAGAGCUGGAGUUCUAACUCAGAUGUUUGCCCCCGCACUGCCCACUCUCGACUACUAUGCUAUUUGGAGCCUGACAAAGGGGAAGAGAAAGGAAAGAAAGAAUGACAUUCCAGACAGGAGGAGGGAUAUGAAGUGAGGUGCAGACAUGAGAAAUUUACAAAACUCUAUAAGCUGGAAUUGGGCGAGACUGAGAGAGCAUGGAACCUAAUUUUUGAAAAGAAAAAUGUCUGAGAGGAACACGAUUCUGAAAUACAGUACCAAAUACAUAAGCAGUCGAUGGAAAACCAGCACUGCUGAAGAGGAACCAAAAUGAAUGAAUGGCAAAUCUUCUUUUGACAUUUCUAUCACCUUUCUGCCUUUGUUAAUUUUCCUCUUCCUCAGCGUGAGAUGAUACAUAGGAAUGUCAACAACUUGCCAUGUAUUUCCAUCUCCAAAGAUGUGCCUUUCAUCAAUCUGCUGCUUACAAUCCAACUGACUUGAGAUCUACAUCCCAAGAAAUGGACAAUUUAUCAUAAAAAUGAAGAAGGGAAAUAAUUCAAAGACUUCAGGUCCAGUGAUUAAGGACAGUGCUCAUUUAAAUGUCUUCAAAUGGUUUCUGUUGACCAAAAACUAAUGUUCUAACAGUUUUAAUUUUGAAGACAAGCUUUGGAAUAAAGUGACAAUCCAUUGACAAAACAUAGCUGAGUAUCUUGAGCAAAAAUUUAAACUUUGGUUUUAUAAAAGAAAGGUCAAGGAAGUAGUUAAAUUAGGCAAUUAUUUUUUACUGAUUAAUUGGUUAUUAACUCUUUCUUUUUCAAUUCUUGGGUACCCUACCCUCUGAAUCUGCAAAACUUUUCUACUUUUUAUGUCCUUUCUUAUGACAAAUAGCAUGUGACCUCUAAUUCUAUGGCCUGGCUCCCAGCUGGAUGAUAGAUGAAUAGGUUUCUAUCCAUAUGAAUAAUGUCGAGAGAGAACAAGAUUCCAGAGAAAGUUGGUGAAAUCGAAUGAAAGUGGUAGAUCAGAGAUAAAUGAGGUAAAGAAUGGGAAAACAGUAGAAAUAAUCAAUAAGCCCAAGGCUGAUUCUUUGUAAAGAAUAAUAAAACUGACAAACUCCCAGCAUGUCCGAUCUCAAGCAUAAGUGAGCAGACGCAGUUAAGGAAUUCUUUGAACAAAUGGGAUCAAAACACAGACAACAUUUGAAGCACAUUUACUCCAGUAAGUUUUACAAUCCCAUCAAACUGUUUACUUUUCUAACAGCACAAGUGACCAAUAUUGACUCCACUCAUAGAGUGACCAACUGUGUGGAUGGCAUGACACUGAGGAAGUUCCAAGAGUGUGGAAGCAUCAGUAUUAAAAGUGGGAACAUUGAAGAGGAAACCAAAGAUGAGCUGCUCACCCCAACUCCCAAGGAACAGGAAAAUUGUAUGCAUCGCUAUCUGGUUAAAUAAAUGAAUAGUCUAGAAAACUCACACACUUCACCAAGUGUAUCAGGUCUGAGAGUAUUUUAUAACUGAAUUUACCAGACCUUCAGAGAAGAGUUACUAUUAAUUUGAUAGAACCGUUUUAAGAAAACAGGAAAAUUAGGGAAUUCUGUUUAACUCCUUUUUUAAAAAUGUUUGUUUGUUUGUUUGUUUGUUUGUUUGUUUAGAGAGGGAGAGCACACGUGUGCACAAACUGGAGAGAGGCAAAGCGAGGGAGAGAGAGAGAGAAUCCCAAGCAGACUCUGUGCUGUCAGCACAGAGCCUGAUGUGGAGCUUGAUCUCACAAACUUCGAGAUCCUGAGUAGAAAUCAAGAGUCGGACGCUGAACCAACUGAGCCACCCAGGAAGUGUAUUUUUAAAGUGGAGUCAGCUUAUCACUGAAAUGUCAACAGGGGUCUGGUGGCCACAUCUAGUUUUACAGGUAAGAACCAAUCCUACAGUUUUGUCUCAAACACCUCUGGAGCUUGAAACAUGUUCAUCUGGAUGAAUGGCCUGAGAAAGACUUAACUUUUAUUAGUGAAAGUGACCAGGACAGGCUUACCCUGAUGUGACCUCACAGUGCCAACUCCUCAUAAACUUUCUAAUCUUAAUGCCGUGAGCUUUCCACUGCUACUGAAAUUAUCUUUUUGUUUUAAUUAUUAAAUUGACUUCAAGACUUGAAGACCAAGUUCAUAUACACAGAUAUGUGCUUAGAGAUAUUUAUCUCCAAAUGAUAUGAUAAUGAGUGUUUACAAACCAUUCAUUAUAAAUUCUGGAGCCACAAAGAACAGUGGAGAAAAAGCUUUCAGUGGGCAGUUGUAGUUAGUUUAUCAUGAACAUUCUGGCUUAGGUGUGCAACUUGAGAGCAGGUUAGGGUAAACUGAGCAAGAUCUAGAAGGCUCUGGGCAACUAGACACAUUUGGUGCCAGAAAUGAGAAAAGGGAUAUGGUCACAAGGAAAAGAUCUUGAAGCAAUAGGUGACAUCCUGUUUCAUCUAGCUCAGCUAUGACUUUAUGUAUAUUUUUGACCCUGGUAAAUAUGUGCUAUGUAAAAUUAUAUAAGUUAAAAAUGUGUGUUUUUCAUUAUUUGUGAGUAAUGCAGAAAGUCAAUGACCAUAGUCAUUUGUAAUUUUCCUGAGUUGAGAUUUAAAUCCAAGUGGUUAGGCAUGGGACUGAGACAUGAAGAGUCACUUAAGAGAAAUCCAGGCAGCUGUCACAUUCUCAUGUCAGGGAGGUCACUAUUUCCCUUAAUCAUCUUGUCAGCAGUAAUUCUUCUGAAAUGGUAUUUAGACAGUAGCCAAGAUUUAAAAGGAAGGAUUCUUAGUUGGAACAAAGAAGCUCGAGAUCUGUUAAAAAGAGGAUGUGCUUUUUUUUUAAUCUUAUUUUUCCUUCCCUGUCCUGAUGUUCAUCUAUUGAGUUUCUCAAAUGCCACAUAUGAGUGAAAUCAUAUGAUAUCUGUCUUUCUCUGCCUUAUUCCGCUUAGCAUAAUACCUUCCAGUUCCAUCCAUGUUGUUGCAAAUGGAAAGAUUUCAUUUUUUCAUUGUCAAGGGAGGCAAAUCAUAAGAGACUCUUUAAUACAGACAACAAACUGAGGGUUGU
RNA transcript from Acinonyx jubatus (cheetah), 5800 nucleotides. RefSeq lists it as uncharacterized. The transcript is spliced from 6 exons. The record is from RefSeq and is a predicted model, not a curated record. NCBI's taxonomy places the organism in Eukaryota, Metazoa, Chordata, Mammalia, Carnivora, Felidae.